RNAcentral lists this ribosomal RNA (425 nucleotides) under uncultured bacterium. RNAcentral's name for it is "partial 16S ribosomal RNA". It matches the Rfam family "Bacterial small subunit ribosomal RNA", at positions 354 to 796 of the family's 1533-position model. The record is from RNAcentral.
GUGGGGAAUAUUGGGCAAUGGGCGAAAGCCUGACCCAGCAACGCCGCGUGAAGGAAGAAGGUUUUCGGAUCGUAAACUUCUAUCCUUGGUGAAGAUAAUGACGGUAGCCAAGAAGGAAGCCCCGGCUAACUACGUGCCAGCAGCCGCGGUAAUACGUAGGGGGCAAGCGUUGUCCGGAAUGAUUGGGCGUAAAGGGCGCGUAGGUGGCCCGGUAAGUCUGAAGUGAAAGUCCUGCUUUUAAGGUGGGAAUUGCUUUGGAUACUGUCGGGCUUGAGUGCAGGAGAGGUAAGCGGAAUUCCCGGUGUAGCGGUGAAAUGCGUAGAGAUCGGGAGGAACACCAGUGGCGAAGGCGGCUUACUGGACUGUAACUGACGCUGAGGCGCGAAAGUGUGGGGAGCAAACAGGAUUAGAUACCCGGGUAGUCC